CAGCCGCCGCGGUAAUACGUAGGUGGCAAGCGUUGUCCGGAAUUAUUGGGCGUAAAGGGCUCGCAGGCGGUCUCUUAAGCCUGAUGUGAAAGCCCCCGGCUCAACCGGGGAGGGUCAUUGGAAACUGGGAAACUUGAGUGCAGAAGAGGAGAGUGGAAUUCCACGUGCAGCGGUGAAAUGCGUAGAGAUGUGGAGGAACACCAGUGGCGAAGGCGACUCUCUGGUCUGUAACUGACGCUGAGGAGCGAAAGCGUGGGGAGCGAACAGGAUUAGAUACCCCUGUAGUCCCUGUCUCUUAUAC
Molecule: ribosomal RNA, 301 nt
Filed under: uncultured bacterium
Lineage: Bacteria
Description: partial 16S ribosomal RNA
Rfam family: Bacterial small subunit ribosomal RNA
Source: RNAcentral